RNAcentral lists this ribosomal RNA (259 nucleotides) under uncultured bacterium. RNAcentral's name for it is "partial 16S ribosomal RNA". It matches the Rfam family "Bacterial small subunit ribosomal RNA", at positions 99 to 353 of the family's 1533-position model. The record is from RNAcentral.
CGGACGGGUGAGUAACGCGUGAGUAACCUGCCUUUCAGAGGGGGAGUAACGUUCUGAAAAGAACGCUAAUACCGCAUAACAUCAAUUUAUCGCAUGAUAGGUUGAUCAAAGGAGCAAUCCGCUGGAAGAUGGACUCGCGUCCGAUUAGCCAGUUGGCGGGGUAACGGCCCACCAAAGCGACGAUCGGUAGCCGGACUGAGAGGUUGAACGGCCACAUUGGGACUGAGACACGGCCCAGACUCCUACGGGAGGCAGCAUG